RNAcentral lists this small RNA (29 nucleotides) under Bombyx mori (domestic silkworm). RNAcentral describes it as "ovarian small RNA-30046". Lineage: Eukaryota; Metazoa; Arthropoda; Insecta; Lepidoptera; Bombycidae. The record is from RNAcentral.
UCUGUGGACCAACAUGUUGAUGCUAGAGA